Molecule: non-coding RNA, 120 nt
Filed under: Lessardia elongata
Lineage: Eukaryota; Dinophyceae; Peridiniales; Podolampadaceae
Source: RNAcentral
UUUUUUUUUUUUUUUUUUUUUUGUUCACGAUACUACGAUUUCUGCAUUCGGUUAUUGAUGCAUGAUCGCAGCAAGGAAUCGCUGUGUUGCGCUUCAUCCUUGCUCAAAAGAAACGAAGAG